AUGUCUAAGUCAGAGUCUUCCAGGGAGCCAGAACAGCUGUGGAAGCAGAACAGCUGUGGAAGCUCUUCAUCAGAGGGCUGGGCUUCGAAACAACCAAUGAGAGUCGGAGGAGCCAUUCUGAGCAAUGAGGAAUAUUCACCGACUGUGUGGUAAUGAGAGGUCCAAACACCAAGGGAUCCAGGAGCUUUAGGUUCGUCACAUACGCCACUGUGGAGGAAGUGAACGCAAGACCACACAAGGUGGAUGGAAGAGUUGUGGAACCUAAGAGACCUGUGUCAAAGGAAGAUUCUUAGAGAGCAAGUGCCCACUUAACUGUGAAAUAGAUCUUUGUUGAUGGUAUUAAAGAAGACACUGAAGCACAUCACCAUCAAGAUUAUUUUGAGGAGAAAAAUAGAAUUGAAGUGAUAGAAAUUAUGACUGACAGAGGCAAUGGAAAAAAGAGGGGUUUUGCUUUUGUCACUUCUGACUCUGUGGAUAAGAUUAUUAUUCAGAAAUACCAUACUGUGAGUGGCCACAACUGUGAGGUAAGAAAGGCUCUGUCAAAGCAAGAGAUGGCUAGUGCUUCAUCCAGCCAGAGAGGUCGAAGUGGUUCCGGUUUUGGUGGCAAUGACAAUUUUGGUCGAGGAGGGAACUUCUUCGGUGGUCAUGGUGGCUUUGGUGGCAGCCAUGGUGGUGGUGGAUAUGUUGGCAGUGGGGAUGGCUAUAAUGGAUUUGGCAGUGAUGGUGGCUAUGGAGGAGGUGGCCCUGGUUACUCUGGAGGAAGCAGAGGCUAUGGAAGUGAUGGACAGGGUUAUGGAAACCAGGGCAGUGGCUAUGCUGGGAGUGGCGGCUAUGACAGCUAUAACAACAAAGGAGGCAGAGGCAGCUUUGGAGGUGGUAGUGGAAGCAAUUUUGGAGGUGGUGGAAGCUACAGUGAUUUUGGCAAUUACAACAAUCAGUCUUCAAAUUUUGGGCCAAUGAAGGGAGGAAACUUUGGAGGCAGGAGCUCUGGCCAUUCUGGUGGCAGAGGCCAGUACUUUGCUAAACCACAAAACCAAGGUGGCUAAGGAGGUUCCAGCAGCAGCAGUAGCUAUGGCAGCAGCAGGGGGUUCUAG
Molecule: RNA transcript, 1094 nt
Organism: Mus pahari (shrew mouse)
Lineage: Eukaryota; Metazoa; Chordata; Mammalia; Rodentia; Muridae
Gene name: heterogeneous nuclear ribonucleoprotein A1 pseudogene
Exons: 1
Source: RefSeq, a predicted model, not a curated record